This 426-nucleotide ribosomal RNA is filed under the name uncultured bacterium. RNAcentral's name for it is "partial 16S ribosomal RNA". It matches the Rfam family "Bacterial small subunit ribosomal RNA", at positions 354 to 796 of the family's 1533-position model. The record is from RNAcentral.
GUGAGGAAUUUUCCGCAAUGGGCGAAAGCCUGACGGAGCAAUGCCGCGUGAAGGAUGAAGGCCUAUGGGUUGUAAACUUCUUUUCUUUGAGAAGAAUAUUGACGGUAUCUGAGGAAUAAGCAUCGGCUAACUCUGUGCCAGCAGCCGCGGUAAGACAGAGGAUGCAAGCGUUAUCCGGAAUGAUUGGGCGUAAAGCGUCUGUAGGUGGCUUCAAAAGUCUCCUGUCAAAGAUCAGGGCUUAACCCUGGGCCGGCAGGAGAAACUCUGAGGCUAGAGUUUGGUAGGGGCAGAGGGAAUUCCCGGUGGAGCGGUGAAAUGCGUAGAGAUCGGGAGGAACACCAAAGGCGAAAGCACUCUGCUGGGCCACAACUGACACUGAGAGACGAAAGCGAGGGGAGCAAAAGGGAUUAGAUACCCGAGUAGUCC